ACGGGAGGCAGCAGUGGGGAAUAUUGCACAAUGGGCGAAAGCCUGAUGCAGCGACGCCGCGUGAGGGAUGACGGCCUUCGGGUUGUAAACCUCUUUCGCUCAUGGUCAAGCCGCAACUCAAGGUUGUGGUGAGGGUAGUGGGUAAAGAAGCGCCGGCUAACUACGUGCCAGCAGCCGCGGUAAUACGUAGGGCGCGAGCGUUGUCCGGAAUUAUUGGGAAUAAAGGGCUUGUAGGCGGUUGGUCGCGUCUGCCGUGAAAUCCUCUGGCUUAACUGGGGGCGUGCGGUGGGUACGGGCUGAAUUGAGUGCGGUAGGGGAGACUGGAACUCCUGGUGUAGCGGUGGAAUGCGCAGAUAUCAGGAAGAACACCGGUGGCGAAGGCGGGUCUCUGGGCCGUUACUGACGCUGAGGAGCGAAAGCGUGGGGAGCGAACAGGAUUAGAUACCCUGGUAGUCCACGCUGUAAACGUUGGGCACUAGGUGUGGGGGCCACCCGUGGUUUCUGCGCCGUAGCUAACGCUUUAAGUGCCCCGCCUGGGGAGUACGGCCGCAAGGCUAAAACUCAAAGGAAUUGACGGGGGCCCGCACAAG
RNAcentral lists this ribosomal RNA (590 nucleotides) under uncultured bacterium. Its description in RNAcentral is "bacterial SSU rRNA". It matches the Rfam family "Bacterial small subunit ribosomal RNA", at positions 341 to 929 of the family's 1533-position model. The record is from RNAcentral.